GAUGAACGCUGGCGGCGUGCUUAACACAUGCAAGUCGAACGGAAAGGCCCAAGCUUGCUUGGGUGCUCGAGUGGCGAACGGGUGAGUAACACGUGGGUGAUCUGCCCUGCACUUCGGUAUAAGCCUGGGAAACUGGGUCUAAUACCGGAUAGGACCACUUCUUGGAUGUUGUGGUGGAAAGUUUUUUCGGUGUGGGAUGAGCUCGCGGCCUUUCAGCUUGUUGGUGGGGUAAUGGCCUACCAAGGCGUCGACGGGUAGCCGGCCUGAGAGGGUGUACGGCCAAAUUGGGACUGAGAUACGGCCCAGACUCCUACGGGAGGCAGCAGUGGGGAAUAUUGCACAAUGGGCGCAAGCCUGAUGCAGCGACGCCGCGUGGGGGAUGACGGCCUUCGGGUUGUAAACUCCUGUCGCUAGGGACGAAGCGUUUUGUGACGGUACCUGGAGAAGAAGCACCGGCUAACUACGUG
This 467-nucleotide ribosomal RNA is filed under the name uncultured bacterium. RNAcentral's name for it is "partial 16S ribosomal RNA". It matches the Rfam family "Bacterial small subunit ribosomal RNA", at positions 28 to 507 of the family's 1533-position model. The record is from RNAcentral.